GCCUCAUGCCUAAUAGUACCUAGACUAGAUGUGCCGUAAUUGUGGCGUGCACUCUUGCUUCAGGGGGGCUGCCGGCUCGAUCCACUUCAAUCAUUACUUGUGCGUGCUUUGGAUAGAAGAAACAAAGAAGAGAUCGGAGAAAACCAUCUUUUGAAGCCGCCGAAUUUCCUACUUCUAUCUUUUUCAUCAAUUCUCACUUUUCAGAAAUGGAUCAUAAAAAUCAUUUUGAAAGUCAAAACACCACGACUAUGAUUGAGUGUGGAGGAGAAGCUGUUGACUCCCAAAAGCAAUGGAAGCAAAUGAAGGACGAUGAAAGAAAGGGAGCAGUUCAGGAAGAGAUGAAGAGGAUGCAUCAAUUGCCUACUAAUAGUAGCUAUGCCACGCAUCGUCUUCGUGUUCUUAAUAAAAUAUUACAACUCAUGUCACUCCAGAGAUCUGCAUCUGAAGAAGAGGAGUUGGAGCUACUUUUCGCUGGACUGUCGAUUUAAGGAAAAAACAAUAGCUGCGUGGUGUCGACUUCUGAUUUGUACUUGUAGCAAAAGCAAUAGAACACAUUGAGUACAUGGAGUGCAAUAUUGGAGCAUUCAUUAAGUACUGGACGAGCUCUGAAAAUGAAGUACUUGUGCAUUGAUUUGGCAUAAUGGGAAUAGAAGAACAGGAGGGUGUUUCUGAAGUAUAUUAGCGUAUCUCUCCUUGGCCACUGGCCAGCAUGACUAUGUAUAACAAAAAGAAUUUGAUGUAAAUUGCAAGAAACUUAUGUAUGAUAACGUAGUUCUAACUUCUAACACAAUAACGUACGUUAGAUUUUAUAAAUUUUAAUGUAUAAGAACUAUACGUUCGUCUUCUAAUAGUUUACUCAUCUAUUUUAAUCAAAUUGCUAUAUUUUAUUUUUCCGUUUAGAGUUUUUUUCUCUCAAAUAUGGCAGUCCUACUGGAUGGAAGAGUAUAUUUAUUUGAACUAAAGACAAAGGCAACAUGAAGAGCUUCAGUUCUUCUCCCAACGGCUUGUCAAUUGUCAAUUUUCGAGAUGAGGUUAUCCAACCGGGACAAGGUGUAGAGUAAUGGGAUAGUGUCUAACAAUCUGUGAGGUACGUAACUCUAUAGCUCGAAAUAAUGACUCUGUAUAUGAUUCAACAACGGUAGAGGUUUUUAACGAAGCUACGUUUCCAGAGGAUGGAAGAAAAUAGAAGGGAGAAGAGAUAAGAUCCGUGAAUUUGGCAGUAAAUAUGUGUCUUAUUUAGUUUUAGUGUCUGCUGAUGCACUAAUUUAAUUUUUAAUAUCUUUAGAUUUAUCCAACUAACAAUUGAGACUCAUGUGCAGAAGCGAAGGGAGUAUAUUUCAGAAAAUUGUGCAUGUUACACCUUUAGCUUGUAAAAAAACUAUUAUUCAUGACCUAUUUACUGAAGUUCCAAGACUUUAAGGGUCGAGGAGAGGACACUAUGCUGAAAGGAAUGCAACGCUCAGGACUUGUUAAGAUAUGUUUUGCAGCUAACGAGCAUUGAACUCAGAUCUCGCCUAAAGAAUAAUGUACUUGUCGGUAGGAGUGUUUAAAACCGGGUACUGGGCCGAUCCGGAUCCGGAAAUCAGGGUACCUGCAAAUUUGAUCUGAUUCCGACCCGGUUUUGUUUAUUUCCUAAAAAUUGUGUUUUUUUCCUUAUUUCUUUUAACAUUUUUUUAUAUAAAAUUCAAAUUCUAAGUUGUUUACAUGAUAGAUUUACCUAAUUUAGAAUUUUAGUGGAUAUAAGUUGUUUAAAUGAUAGAUUUACCUAAUUUAGAAUUUUAUUUUUUUUAAAAAUUGGAGCUAAAUUAGGCAAAAUAUUU
RNA transcript from Amaranthus tricolor (Joseph's coat), 1820 nucleotides. RefSeq lists it as uncharacterized. Lineage: Eukaryota; Viridiplantae; Streptophyta; Magnoliopsida; Caryophyllales; Amaranthaceae. The transcript is spliced from 5 exons. The record is from RefSeq and is a predicted model, not a curated record.